GCAGUAGGGAAUCUUCCGCAAUGGACGAAAGUCUGACGGAGCAACGCCGCGUGAGUGAUGAAGGUUUUCGGAUCGUAAAACUCUGUUGUUAGGGAAGAACAAGUGCCGGAGUAACUGCCCGCACCUUGACGGUACCUAACCAGAAAGCCACGGCUAACUACGUGCCAGCAGCCGCGGUAAUACGUAGGUGGCAAGCGUUGUCCGGAAUUAUUGGGCGUAAAGCGCGCGCAGGCGGUUCCUUAAGUCUGAUGUGAAAGCCCCCGGCUCAACCGGGGAGGGUCAUUGGAAACUGGGGAACUUGAGUGCAGAAGAGGAAAGUGGAAUUCCACGUGUAGCGGUGAAAUGCGUAGAGAUGUGGAGGAACACCAGUGGCGAAGGCGACUUUCUGGUCUGUAACUGACGCUGAGGCGCGAAAGCGUGGGGAGCGAACAGGAUUAGAUACCCUGGUAGUCCACGCCGUAAACGAUGAGUACUAAGUGUUGGAGGGUUUCCGCGCUUUAGUGCUGCCACUAACUACUUCGCCAGACCACCUGGUGAGUACGGUCGAAAGACUGAAGAAUUGACG
RNAcentral lists this ribosomal RNA (565 nucleotides) under uncultured Bacillota bacterium. RNAcentral's name for it is "bacterial SSU rRNA". It matches the Rfam family "Bacterial small subunit ribosomal RNA", at positions 351 to 906 of the family's 1533-position model. The record is from RNAcentral. Lineage: Bacteria; Bacillati; Bacillota.